Molecule: ribosomal RNA, 886 nt
Filed under: Klebsiella oxytoca
Lineage: Bacteria; Pseudomonadati; Pseudomonadota; Gammaproteobacteria; Enterobacterales; Enterobacteriaceae
Description: partial 16S ribosomal RNA
Rfam family: Bacterial small subunit ribosomal RNA
Source: RNAcentral
UGGCGGCAGGCCUAACACAUGCAAGUCGAACGGUAGCACAGNAGNAGCUUGCUCUCGGGUGACGAGUGGCGGACGGGUGAGUAAUGUCUGGGAAACUGCCUGAUGGAGGGGGAUAACUACUGGAAACGGUAGCUAAUACCGCAUAACGUCGCAAGACCAAAGAGGGGGACCUUCGGGCCUCUUGCCAUCAGAUGUGCCCAGAUGGGAUUAGCUAGUAGGUGGGGUAACGGCUCACCUAGGCGACGAUCCCUAGCUGGUCUGAGAGGAUGACCAGCCACACUGGAACUGAGACACGGUCCAGACUCCUACGGGAGGCAGCAGUGGGGAAUAUUGCACAAUGGGCGCAAGCCUGAUGCAGCCAUGCCGCGUGUAUGAAGAAGGCCUUCGGGUUGUAAAGUACUUUCAGCGGGGAGGAAGGCGAUAAGGUUAAUAACCUUGUCGAUUGACGUUACCCGCANAAGAAGCACCGGCUAACUCCGUGCCAGCAGCCGCGGUAAUACGGAGGGUGCAAGCGUUAAUCGGAAUUACUGGGCGUAAAGCGCACGCAGGCGGUCUGUCAAGUCGGAUGUGAAAUCCCCGGGCUCAACCUGGGAACUGCAUUCGAAACUGGCAGGCUGGAGUCUUGUANAGGGGGGUANAAUUCCAGGUGUANCGGUGAAAUGCNUAAAGAUCUGGAGGAAUACCGGUGGCGAANGCNGCCCCCUGGACAAANACUGACCCUCANGUNCNAAANCNUGGGAACCAACAGNAUUAAAUACCCUGGUANUCCCCCUUUAACNAUNUCNACUNGANGUUNUCCNUUANGAAUNCUUCCGAACUACCCNUUAAUCACCCCUGGGAUCCGCCCAGNUNAACUAAUAAUUACGGGCCCCCACCGNGACUUNUU